This 253-nucleotide ribosomal RNA is filed under the name uncultured bacterium. RNAcentral's name for it is "partial 16S ribosomal RNA". The stretch from base 27 to 253 matches the Rfam family "Bacterial small subunit ribosomal RNA", at positions 550 to 776 of the family's 1533-position model. The record is from RNAcentral.
UACCAGCACCCCGAGUGGUCGGGACGAUUAUUGGGCCUAAAGCAUCCGUAGCCGGUCAUGCAAGUCCUCCGUUAAAUCCACCUGCUUAACAGAUGGGCUGCGGAGGAUACUACAAGGCUAGGAGGCGGAAGAGGCAAGCGGUACUCAGUGGGUAGGGGUAAAAUGCGCAGAUAUCGGGAGGAACACCAAUGGCGAAGGCAGCUCGCUGGGACGUGACUGACGCUGAGACGCGAAAGCGUGGGGAGCAAACAGG